GACGUAGGGGGCCAGCGUUGUUCGGAAUUACUGGGUGUAAAGGGUUCGUAGGCGGUGUGGCGAGUCGGGAGUGAAAUCUCUGGGCUCAACCCAGAGACUGCUUCCGAAACUGCUGUGCUUGAGUGUGAGAGAGGCUCGUGGAAUUGCAGGUGUAGCGGUGAAAUGCGUAGAUAUCUGCAGGAACACCCGUGGCGAAAGCGGCGAGCUGGAUCACUACUGACGCUGAGGAACGAAAGCUAGGGGAGCAAACAGG
RNAcentral lists this ribosomal RNA (253 nucleotides) under uncultured bacterium. Its description in RNAcentral is "partial 16S ribosomal RNA". It matches the Rfam family "Bacterial small subunit ribosomal RNA", at positions 524 to 776 of the family's 1533-position model. The record is from RNAcentral.